AAAACCUUGAAAAAGCGAUGACUUAAAACAUUGUAGUGAAACAGCAAACUAGUUUUUGUUUCAAGGAUGGCAAAGCUUUCUCCCUUUUUUUACUUCCUUCUGGCAUUCCUUAUUGUUAUCUCAGUUAAGAAGAUGGUGCUUGAGGUGGAUGCAAUUGCAAAUUUCUGCGAAAUAAUUAUAGGGGACUGCCCAAGCGUGGAUGAAUGCAAAUCCCAGUGCGCAACCAAAUACCCAGGGAGUGUGGCAUUUUGUGUUAAAACUGACCAUUAUUAUUGUAUGUGCAAAGUUUGUUGAUAGAAAGAAUGAUACCUUGAAGUGGUAA
Molecule: long non-coding RNA, 322 nt
Organism: Macadamia integrifolia
Lineage: Eukaryota; Viridiplantae; Streptophyta; Magnoliopsida; Proteales; Proteaceae
Exons: 2
Source: RefSeq, a predicted model, not a curated record